RNAcentral lists this ribosomal RNA (401 nucleotides) under uncultured bacterium. Its description in RNAcentral is "bacterial SSU rRNA". It matches the Rfam family "Bacterial small subunit ribosomal RNA", at positions 29 to 416 of the family's 1533-position model. The record is from RNAcentral.
AAUGAACGCUGGCGGCGCGCCUAAUACAUGCAAGUCGAGCGAGAAGACGUAGCAAUACGUUUGUAAAGCGGCGAACGGGUGAGGAAUACAUGGGUAACCUACCCUCGAGUGGGGAAGUAACUAGCCGAAAGGUUAGCUAAUACCGCGUACGCUCCUUGGACUUCGGUUCAGGGAGGGAAAGACGAUACCGUGGGUAUCGCGCUCUUGGUUGGGCUCAUGUCCUAUCAGCUUGUUGGUGAGGAACGGCUCACCAAGGCUUCGACGGGUAGCUGGUCUGAGAGGACGAUCAGCCACACUGGCACUGCGACACGGGCCAGACUCCUACGGGAGGCAGCAGUAAGGAAUAUUGCGCAAUGGGCGAAAGCCUGACGCAGCGACGCCGCCGUGGGGGAGUGAAGGGU